CGCGGGGUGGAGCAGCUCGGUAGCUCGCUGGGCUCAUAACCCAGAGGUCGCAGGUUCAAAUCCUGCCACCGCUA
Molecule: transfer RNA, 74 nt
Filed under: Sporichthyaceae bacterium
Lineage: Bacteria; Bacillati; Actinomycetota; Actinomycetes; Sporichthyales; Sporichthyaceae
Description: tRNA-Met
Rfam family: tRNA
About the family: Transfer RNA (tRNA) molecules are approximately 80 nucleotides in length. Their secondary structure includes four short double-helical elements and three loops (D, anti-codon, and T loops). Further hydrogen bonds mediate the characteristic L-shaped molecular structure. tRNAs have two regions of fundamental functional importance: the anti-codon, which is responsible for specific mRNA codon recognition, and the 3' end, to which the tRNAs corresponding amino acid is attached (by aminoacyl-tRNA synthetases). tRNAs cope with the degeneracy of the genetic code in two manners: having more than one tRNA (with a specific anti-codon) for a particular amino acid; and 'wobble' base-pairing, i.e. permitting non-standard base-pairing at the 3rd anti-codon position.
Source: RNAcentral